GGCAACCAAAAAGUAAGAAAAAUGUUUAAAUAUAUACAGCAGGAAAAACAAAUUAGAUAAUCUCACAAGACAAUAAAAUUCAGAAAAUUACGUACGAAGAAUAUUGUAUCAAAAGAAUAUUCCAAGCUUUUUAUAACGUUGAGAAAGACUGUUACUCUUGACAAAAAAAAAAAGAGAGAAAGACUCCUACCAAAAUAAGAUGGAACUAGAUAGGAAUCACUAAACGUAUUAAUUUAUAAAUAUAUAUAGACUUACAAGUUACUAGUGGAGACAGAGAAAAAAAGUCUGUUACUCCCUCUCUUUCAUAAUAAUUUAAUAAGUUUCAUUCUAGUUUUUUUUCUUGUUACAUAAAAAGUGCUACUUUACAAUUUCAAUGUAAAUAAUAUUUAUUUUCAGUUGAAAAUUAUUUGCAAACUGCAUUGGUUUUAUAAAUAAUUUUAUUUAUCUCAAGUGGUCAGGUCAGAAAGAUGUAAUUAAUAACAACUUACAUAUAUUUCUGCUAUUUUUUUAGUUUGUGUGAAAAAUGUCAAAAUGACAUUUAUUCAGAAACAUAGUAAAUAUUUAAUAUUUUUGAUAAGCUGUCAAGAUGACGAAAUUUUGGAAAUGAGACGAUCUCAAUUCUGUUUAAAAGCUAUUUGGGCUUUAAGUUUGAUGUAUAGUUAGUUAAGCAUGUUUUCUAUUUUUUUUUUUUUUGUGCAAAAGAACUAUUGCUUAUUUAUGCUGGACAAUCUAGUGGAUUUUUAAUAUUUUAUCCAUACAAAAUGAUAGACUUUAAUUAAUAGGGUGUCAACAAUUAAAAUUAAGAGGGUUCAGUUUUAUUUUUUAUUAGUGGUUUGGUUCACGCGAGAUAUUUGUUAAUUGUAUGCCACAAUGUUUUAAAUUUAAGUAUUUACUAGAUUUUCAUCCGCGCUUACAAAGCGCGAGUUUAUUUUUUAUUUUUUCAAUUGACAAAUAUUUAGUAAAUGUCAUAUUUUAUAUAUUUGUGUUUUAUUUUAUAAAAGACUUAAACUUUUUAUCUUUUUUUAUCGUGUUUCAUUAUAAGUGACUGUUUAUGUUUAAAAAAUUCAACUUUAUUUCUUUAAAGAAUUAAGUUGGUAUAACUCUGAUAAAUUAAUUUUAUUAUGUGGUUAAUAUUUUUGAUAAAAAAUUAUAUACUUUUAAUAAGAAUUUAUAUUUUUCAGUGAAAAAAAAUAAUUUUUUUUAUGAAUGCUUAAAUUAUAUUGAGAAAAGAAAAAAAAUUAAGAAUGGUUGAAAAAAAAAUUAGUUGAAUUUGGACUCAAUGGCCCAAAGAAAAAAAAAAUAUGAGAACUAGAUCUAAUUUUUUAAUCGGCCCAAAUGGCCCAAAAGAGAUCUGAUGUGGACAGUGGGCUGGAUCCGAAAAAAAUGACACAAUAUAGAUGUGUUAUUAAUAUUACUUGAUUGCCC
Molecule: long non-coding RNA, 1425 nt
Filed under: Brassica rapa (field mustard)
Lineage: Eukaryota; Viridiplantae; Streptophyta; Magnoliopsida; Brassicales; Brassicaceae
Description: long non-coding RNA (BRAP_LNC001428)
Source: RNAcentral